CUGAGAAACCCAAAAGAUCGAAUGGGGAGAUCAUCGUCAACUCAUUUUGUAUAUGUAUUAGUUAUGAUGUGGGUUACUCUUGUARUAUUGCUUACACAUACUUUUACAUUUAUUUGCAGAAUGUUGUCGGCGUGCACUUCUCCCCUAGUAGGACAUCGCGACCCGUUGGGUGUCGGUCUACGACCCAAGUUGUAGUCUAUAAUAUUUUAAUAUAUUAAAGACACUUGGUGUUUUCUGACCGGCUGCCCGGCGGUACUCGUACGGUAUUAAGCCGCAAUUAUAUGCGUCCAUAUCCAUCGCAAGCGAGGCUAGUUUCUGGUAGUACGGACCUAGUGCCGUCGCUGGAGCUUGCCAGCUGUUGGUAGUUAUGGUAUUCUAGGACUGGCUAAAAAAUAAUUACCGGUCGGCGAUGCUA
Molecule: ribosomal RNA, 415 nt
Filed under: Jarra maculipennis
Lineage: Eukaryota; Metazoa; Arthropoda; Insecta; Hymenoptera; Braconidae
Description: eukaryotic LSU rRNA
Source: RNAcentral